RNAcentral lists this ribosomal RNA (438 nucleotides) under uncultured Phycisphaerales bacterium. RNAcentral's name for it is "bacterial SSU rRNA". It matches the Rfam family "Bacterial small subunit ribosomal RNA", at positions 30 to 505 of the family's 1533-position model. The record is from RNAcentral. Lineage: Bacteria; Pseudomonadati; Planctomycetota; Phycisphaerae; Phycisphaerales.
AUUGAACGCUGGCGGCAUGGCUAAAACAUGCAAGUCGUGGGAGAAGCCCUUCGGGGUGGACACCGGCGAAAGGGCGAGUAAUGGUAUCGAACGUGCCCAGAGGUGGGGGAUAGCGUCGGGAAACUGGCGGUAAUACCCCAUGUGCUCUACGGAGGAAAGCUACGGCGCCUCUGGAGCGGCGAUACUCCUAUCAGGUUGUUGGUGGGGUAAUGGCCUACCAAGCCUUAGACGGGUAGCGGGUGUGAGAGCAUGACCCGCCGCAUCGGAACUGAGACACUGUCCGGACUCCUACGGGAGGCUGCAGUAACGAAUCUUCCGCAAUGCACGAAAGUGUGACGGAGCAAUGCCGCGUGUGGGAUGAAGCAGCUUCGCUGUGUAAACCACUGUCAGGGUCUAGGAAGAACUGACCAGACCCAGAGGAAGGACCGGCUAAUCUCG